RNAcentral lists this ribosomal RNA (432 nucleotides) under uncultured bacterium. RNAcentral describes it as "partial 16S ribosomal RNA". It matches the Rfam family "Bacterial small subunit ribosomal RNA", at positions 29 to 507 of the family's 1533-position model. The record is from RNAcentral.
AACGAACGCUGGCGGCAUGCCUAACACAUGCAAGUCGAACGAGACCUUCGGGUCUAGUGGCGCACGGGUGCGUAACGCGUGGGAACCUGCCCUUAGGUUCGGAAUAACUCCCCGAAAGGGGUGCUAAUACCGGAUAAUGUCUUCGGACCAAAGAUUUAUCGCCUUUGGAUGGGCCCGCGUUGGAUUAGCUAGUUGGUAGGGUAAAUGCCUACCAAGGCGACGAUCCAUAGCUGGUCUGAGAGGAUGAUCAGCCACACUGGGACUGAGACACGGCCCAGACUCCUGCGGAAGGCAGCAAUGCGGAUUCUGGAACGCGGGGCGAGGGAAGAAGCCAGCAGUGCCGCGUGAGUGUUGAGGGCGUUAGGAAAGUAAAGCUCUUUUACCCGGGAUGAGAUGAAGGGAACCGAAGGAUAAGGCCCCGCCAACCUCGUG